UGAGGAAUAUUGGGCAAUGCCCGAAAGGGUGACCCAGCAACGCCGCGUGGAGGAUGAAGGUCGUAAGAUUGUAAACUCCUGUUAGAGGGGAAGAAUAACUAAGUUUGGAGCUUAGUAUGACUGUACCCUCAGAGAGAGCCCCGGCUAACUACGUGCCAGCAGCCGCGGUAAUACGUAGGGGGCAAGCGUUGUCCGGAUUUACUGGGUGUAAAGGGCGCGCAGGCGGAAUGGAAAGUCAGUGGUGAAAUCCUACAGCUUAACUGUAGAACUGCCUUUGAUACUUUCAUUCUUGAGUUCGGGAGAGAGAGACGGAAUUCCAGGUGUAGUGGUGAAAUACGUAGAUAUCUGGAAGAACACCAGUUGCGAAGGCGGUCUCUUGGUCCGAUACUGACGCUGAGGCGCGAAAGCGUGGGGAGCAAACA
RNAcentral lists this ribosomal RNA (422 nucleotides) under uncultured bacterium. Its description in RNAcentral is "bacterial SSU rRNA". It matches the Rfam family "Bacterial small subunit ribosomal RNA", at positions 355 to 774 of the family's 1533-position model. The record is from RNAcentral.